Molecule: ribosomal RNA, 408 nt
Filed under: uncultured bacterium
Lineage: Bacteria
Description: partial 16S ribosomal RNA
Rfam family: Bacterial small subunit ribosomal RNA
Source: RNAcentral
GACGAACGCUGGCGGCGUGCUUAACACAUGCAAGUCGAACGGAGUGGCGACCGGGGGAGAAACACGUGGGUGAUCUGCCUUGCAAUUCGGGAUAAGCUUGGGAGACUGGGUCUAAUACCGGAUAGUGAAAGAUGAGCUAGCGGCCUAUCAGCGUGUUGGUGGGGUAAUGGCCUCUCAAGGCGUCGACGGGUAGCCGGCCUGAGAGGGGGUACGGCCACAUUGGGACUGAGAUACGGCCCAGACGCCUACGGGAGGCAGCAGUGGGGAAUAUUGCACAAUGGGCGGAAGCCUGAGGCAGCGACGCCGCGUGGGGGAUGAAGGCCUUCGGGUUGUAAACUCCUUUCGACAGGGACGCGGUACCUGUAUAAGAAGCACCGGCUAACUACGUGCCAGCAGCCGCGGUAAUUC